Molecule: non-coding RNA, 30 nt
Filed under: Mus musculus (house mouse)
Lineage: Eukaryota; Metazoa; Chordata; Mammalia; Rodentia; Muridae
Source: RNAcentral
UAUUUGAGAUGACUACAGGUUUUUAUUAUC